GUACAUAUUAGUAAGACAUACUAGUACUACUACUACUAGUACUGUAGUUCUAGUACGAGUAUGUUCUACUCGUAUAAGUACA
RNAcentral lists this transfer RNA (82 nucleotides) under Amborella trichopoda. Its description in RNAcentral is "tRNA AMTR_s00172t00275120". Lineage: Eukaryota; Viridiplantae; Streptophyta; Magnoliopsida; Amborellales; Amborellaceae. The record is from RNAcentral.